GACGAACGCUGGCGGCGUGCUUAACACAUGCAAGUCGAACGGAAAGGCCCUUCGGGGUACUCGAGUGCGAACGGGUGAGUAACACGUGGGUGAUCUGCCCUGCACUUUGGGAUAAGCCUGGGAAACUGGGUCUAAUACCGAAUAUGAUCAUCGGCUUCAUGGUCGGUGGUGGAAAGCUUUUGCGGUGUGGGAUGGGCCCGCGGCCUAUCAGCUUGUUGGUGGGGUAAUGGCCUACCAAGGCGACGACGGGUAGCCGGCCUGAGAGGGUGACCGGCCACACUGGGACUGAGAUACGGCCCAGACUCCUACGGGAGGCAGCAGUGGGGAAUAUUGCACAAUGGGCGCAAGCCUGAUGCAGCGACGCCGCGUGAGGGAUGACGGCCUUCGGGUUGUAAACCUCUUUCAGCACAGACGAAGCGCAAGUGACGGUAUGUGCAGAAGAAGGACCGGCCAACUACGUG
Molecule: ribosomal RNA, 461 nt
Filed under: uncultured bacterium
Lineage: Bacteria
Description: partial 16S ribosomal RNA
Rfam family: Bacterial small subunit ribosomal RNA
Source: RNAcentral